UCUAGUUGCAUAAGAAAUCAUACCUUAUGCCGCGAUCCCAUCCUAGCUCACAAGCCAAGUGUUGUCUGGGUGGGUCAGUACUUGGAUGGAUCACCUCCAAGGGAAGCCCAGGUGCUCUAGAA
Chelonoidis abingdonii (Abingdon island giant tortoise) is the source of this 122-nucleotide ribosomal RNA. The record is from Ensembl. Lineage: Eukaryota; Metazoa; Chordata; Testudines; Testudinidae.